Glossina pallidipes is the source of this 46-nucleotide non-coding RNA. The record is from Rfam. NCBI's taxonomy places the organism in Eukaryota, Metazoa, Arthropoda, Insecta, Diptera, Glossinidae.
UAAUCGGUCCUUUUCAGGACCACAAUAUUCUUAAUAAAAAAGAUAU